RNAcentral lists this small nucleolar RNA (67 nucleotides) under Drosophila erecta. Its description in RNAcentral is "snoRNA:GG25921". Lineage: Eukaryota; Metazoa; Arthropoda; Insecta; Diptera; Drosophilidae. The record is from RNAcentral.
UUUCUAUGAUGAUUUCGUAUACCGCCCCAGUCGGAGAAAUUAUGUCGAUUGGAUUUUUUUUACUGAU